AGAGUUUGAUCCUGGCUCAGAACGAACGCUGGCGGCGUGCUUAACACAUGCAAGUCGAACGCGAAAAUUUUCUUCGGAAAAUGAGUAGAGUGGCGCACGGGUGAGUAACGCGUAAGUAAUCUACCCUGGUAUAUGGGAUGACCCACCGAAAGGUGAGCUAAUACCGUAUACGCUGAUUUAUCAGGAAAGGUGGCCUCUUCAUGAAAGCUACUGUACUAGGAGGAGCUUGCGUACCAUUAGCUAGUUGGUAGGGUAAUGGCCUACCAAGGCAACGAUGGUUAGCGGGUCUGAGAGGAUGAUCCGCCACACUGGAACUGGAACACGGACCAGACUCCUACGGGAGGCAGCAGUGAGGAAUAUUGCGCAAUGGGGGCAACCCUGACGCAGCGAUGCCGCGUGGAUGAUGAAGGCUUUCGGGUCGUAAAAUCCUGUCAGAUGGAAAGAAAUGCAUAUAGGUUAAUACCCUUUAUGUUUGACGGUACCAUCAAAGGAAGCACCGGCUAACUCCGUGCCAGCAGCCGCGGUAAU
Molecule: ribosomal RNA, 528 nt
Filed under: uncultured delta proteobacterium
Lineage: Bacteria; Deltaproteobacteria
Description: bacterial SSU rRNA
Rfam family: Bacterial small subunit ribosomal RNA
Source: RNAcentral